Molecule: ribosomal RNA, 621 nt
Filed under: uncultured Bacilli bacterium
Lineage: Bacteria; Bacillati; Bacillota; Bacilli
Description: bacterial SSU rRNA
Rfam family: Bacterial small subunit ribosomal RNA
Source: RNAcentral
UGCGAACGGGUGAGUAACGCGUAGGUAACCUGCCUGGUAGCGGGGGAUAACUAUUGGAAACGAUAGCUAAUACCGCAUAAGAGUAGAUGUUGCAUGACAUUUGCUUAAAAGGUGCAAUUGCAUCACUACCAGAUGGACCUGCGUUGUAUUAGCUAGUCGGUGGGGUAACGGCUCACCAAGGCGACGAUACAUAGCCGACCUGAGAGGGUGAUCGGCCACACUGGGACUGAGACACGGCCCAGACUCCUACGGGAGGCAGCAGUAGGGAAUCUUCGGCAAUGGACGGAAGUCUGACCGAGCAACGCCGCGUGAGUGAAGAAGGUUUUCGGAUCGUAAAGCUCUGUUGUAAGAGAAGAACGAGUGUGAGAGUGGAAAGUUCACACUGUGACGGUAUCUUACCAGAAAGGGACGGCUAACUACGUGCCAGCAGCCGCGGUAAUACGUAGGUCCCGAGCGUUGUCCGGAUUUAUUGGGCGUAAAGCGAGCGCAGGCGGUUAGAUAAGUCUGAAGUUAAAGGCUGUGGCUUAACCAUAGUACGCUUUGGAAACUGUUUAACUUGAGUGCAAGAGGGGAGAGUGGAAUUCCAUGUGUAGCGGUGAAAUGCGUAGAUAUAUGGAGGAA